UACAGAGGUCUCGAGCGUUGCGCGGAAUCAUUGGGCUUAAAGGGUGCGUAGGCGGAAACGCGGGUGUUUUGUGAAAGCCCCCGGCUCAACCGGGGAACUGCAGGGCAAACUUCGUUUCUUGAGGCUGGUAGGCGCCGCCGGAACUGUAGGUGUAGCGGUGAAAUGCGUAGAUAUCUACAGGAACGCCGAUGGUGAAGACGGGCGGCUGGGCCAGUUCUGACGCUGAGGCACGAAAGCGUGGGGAGCAAACAGG
Molecule: unclassified non-coding RNA, 253 nt
Filed under: uncultured Phycisphaeraceae bacterium
Lineage: Bacteria; Pseudomonadati; Planctomycetota; Phycisphaerae; Phycisphaerales; Phycisphaeraceae
Description: contains 16S-23S intergenic spacer region
Rfam family: Bacterial small subunit ribosomal RNA
Source: RNAcentral